This 468-nucleotide ribosomal RNA is filed under the name uncultured bacterium. Its description in RNAcentral is "partial 16S ribosomal RNA". It matches the Rfam family "Bacterial small subunit ribosomal RNA", at positions 28 to 507 of the family's 1533-position model. The record is from RNAcentral.
GAUGAACGCUGGCGGCGUGCUUAACACAUGCAAGUCGAACGGAAAGGCCAGUGCUUGCACUGGUACUCGAGUGGCGAACGGGUGAGUAACACGUGGGUGAUCUGCCCUGCACUUCGGGAUAAGCCUGGGAAACUGGGUCUAAUACCGGAUAGGACAAUGGUUUGGAUGCCGUUGUGGAAAGUUUUUUCGGUGUGGGAUGAGCUCGCGGCCUAUCAGCUUGUUGGUGGGGUAAUGGCCUACCAAGGCGUCGACGGGUAGCCGGCCUGAGAGGGUGUAGGGCGACAGGGGAACUGAGAGACGGGCCAGACUCCGGAGGGAGGCAGGAGGGGGGAAUAGGGAACAAUGGGCGCAAGCGUGAAGCAGGAAGGCCGCGUGGGGGAUGAAGGCCGUCGGGUUGUAGACUCCUAUCGCUAGGGACGAAGCGAGUUUGUGACGGUACCUAGAGAAGAAGCACCGGCUAACUACGUG